UACAGAGGUCUCAAGCGUUGUUCGGAUUCAUUGGGCGUAAAGGGUGCGUAGGCGGCGCGGUAAGUCGGGUGUGAAAUCUUGGAGCUUAACUCCGAAACUGCAUUCGAUACUGCCGUGCUCGAGGACUGGAGAGGAGACUGGAAUUUACGGUGUAGCGGUGAAAUGCGUAGAUAUCGUAAGGAAGACCAGUGGCGAAGGCGGGUCUCUGGACAGUUCCUGACGCUGAGGCACGUAGGUCAGGGGAGCAAACGGG
Molecule: ribosomal RNA, 253 nt
Filed under: uncultured bacterium
Lineage: Bacteria
Description: partial 16S ribosomal RNA
Rfam family: Bacterial small subunit ribosomal RNA
Source: RNAcentral